CUAUCACUAUAAGACAAAAUAUUCAGACGAUAAAUCGUAUAGAAUGGUUUUAAAACUAUAUUUUGUUUUGUUUCAGGACAAACGGGUGAAUAGCAUCGAACAAUAUGCAGAAACUUAUUCUUCAAGUUUCAUUCGCCACUCGGCUCUCCUACUAAUUGAAGGCAUAACUCAAGAUCGAGAAGAAAACUCAUUUGUUAGCGAAGUUGGUUUGUGACCGUCACUAACGGGCAGUUUAAUUUUUGUUUGCUCGUUUUGAUGAUCGCAAAAUGAACUCGCUAUACGUUUUUCUACAAUUUCAACGAAAUAACUUGAAGACGACGUAAGAAGAACCAUCGUCAUUUUUUGAUACAUUUUUUUAAAUUAUUAUAUUUCACUUUUAGAUCUGUUGAAAUUUGAAUGAAUUAAUUAUAUUUUGUUUAUGUUUUAAUAUAAGAGUGAAAACGUUGUUGGCUUGUGUAAAACUUUAUACUUAAAUACUUUAAGGAACAAAAAACAGGCUAUAUUUAAUUCAAAAUUGAAAACCUUAUUUUUGGAACGAAGUUCCAUAAGGGGCGUGACAGAAGGGUACUCUAGCCGGCAAAAAACGUCGGCAACGUUAAAAAACGUAAGAUGUAUAGUCUAUGUAUGAUGGCUAUACAGUGUCUAAUGUAUAGUCUACGCUAUAACUGUUUUUAUUAUUGCAGUUUGCUAUGAUUAUUAUAUCAUUCGAUAAUUAGUAUAUAUUUUUAUAAAUCAUUGUAAAUAAAAUAAAGGUAUUGA
This 759-nucleotide unclassified non-coding RNA is filed under the name Melitaea cinxia (Glanville fritillary). Its description in RNAcentral is "misc RNA ENSMCXG00005007427.1". The stretch from base 193 to 281 matches the Rfam family "mir-274 microRNA precursor family". Lineage: Eukaryota; Metazoa; Arthropoda; Insecta; Lepidoptera; Nymphalidae. The record is from RNAcentral.